ACCUUCCUGUGGCAUUUGCAGGGCCUGUGAGUCUGUCACGGCAUUGGGGGUGGGGGAGGUAAGUAGUCAGCGUCUGUGAUGCCCAUCUGCUGUCUGUUCUCUGUAUCUGGACGCCUUUCUACAACCAACUCCCGAGUUCUUCUGCUUAUGUCUGACAAAGUAAGUUUGCCAAUCACGUAACUCCGAUCGGUGUAGAUUGUAAACAACCUCUGAAGACAUCAAAUUGUGGACGUUUAAUAAAGUACCUGACUUUUCCCCCAUGUUCUUUCCUUUACUAUGGAGGAUCCCAAGGGGUCAAUUAUAUGUCUUGUUUGUUUGGAUCCUCUCAGCAAAUCAUCCAAGCUCAAGCAGAUGUUGGGGGUCCCAGUGUGUGCUUGUUGAAUGGAUCUGUCUUCGCCAGUGAUGGAGUUGUUUCUCGUGCAACAUUUCUAUAGUGGGAUGAGGACGCUUGAAAAAUAGGAAUGCAAACUCCCAAGCAAGACAGCUAUCCUCCAGGGUGAAUUUAAACUAGCAAUUUUGAGUCACAUUGAUAAUCUAGAACCCUCCUUUUCUUUGUUUUGUGUGUGGAAGCCAGGACUUGGUACAUGAUAGGCCAUCACUCUAUUCCUGAAGCAACAGCCCUAGCCCCAGAUUCCUUGAGAGAGUUUCACAACAGAGACCAAGGGCAUCUCUUACUCCUUAUACUCACAAUUAAGUGUGUGCUAAAGGAGAUGGUACCCAAAUGCUGAUGCCACAAGACUUUACCGGUGAUGAGGGCUUGGUGUCUUUUGAGAAAGAACCGAAAACCACACAGAGUUUUCCUCUGUUAGCAAAGGACAAGAGGACACAAAAGCCUCUGGUGGUUGCUGGUGGGUAGACAGAAACCUGCCUGGAAGUAAAACCAGCUAUUCUCCACUCAAGUAAUAUAUAUGCUCUUAAAGGAGCUCGCAUUCACGCGCGCACAAGCACGCACGCUCACACAACUUCCAGUCCUGUGCCCAGCUUCCUUCUAACCGUUCCUGGUUUGAGUCUCAAUCAUGAUCUGCCAUGCUGUAAUCUAGGCUUUCUCCAGGUCACUGUGAACUUGGCAAUGCGAGGCAAGCCACUUCUCGGUUCUUUAAGUUGUGGGAAAUACACCACAGCACCCAUCAUGGUUAUCAACCCUGAGCGAGUUACCACAUGGAAGUCUUGGAAUGCAGAUCAUGGCGUUGUGGCACAUGGCAGAGGUACACGUGUUAGCUCAUGUUAUUAGGAGGCUUCAAGGAUGCUCUGUGUCUCUACGUUUCCUGGGGAAUAAAUUAAAUCAAAAGCAAACAUGGGUUCUACUGGGCAUUUUGUUUUUCACUGAAAAAUCAAAAGGUUUCUAUAAUAGAAACCUAUACUCUUAUUCAACAACACCAACACACACACACUCAUGCAUACACACAUGUGUGUGUACACAAACAGAGGGACACAGAGAGUGGGAAGGAAAAAAUGAAAUGAGAUAGAGAGAAACAGAGAGAGAUAGAGACAGACAGACAGACAGAGAUCUUCCACGAGUCCAAAGUCUGGUUCAUAUCAAUUACAGCUUAGCCACUAAUGGCUAUAAAGAUACUCAAUGGCUUUAUAUUAAAUCAUGGGAAAAUAACCAGAAAUGUACUAUUGCUACCAAUACACUGACGCGCUGCCAUUUGAAAGUGCUGUGGAUAUAAAAUAGAGGACUUUCUAACCCCAAGUGAUAGAUAGGUCUUCUAGGUUUAAACAAAGAAUAGAACAGAACUUUCUAGUUGACAGGCUGACCAUAGAAGUAUCAGUGAGAACACGUUUAAGACUGUGCUGAUUACCAGGGUGGACCGUUAACACACACGAGGGGUGUGUGUGAUCUGUAUGUGGAAGGGCACUCGUGGCCUGAUGGAGGGCAGAGACUCUCUGUCCAGGUUAAUCUCACCUUGCUGGCCUGUCUUCAAGUGGGCUUGCUGGCUGAGGGACAGCAUGCUGAGCACGGUGGGGGUGCGACAAGGUGUAGCCCUUGGUUUCCCAGCCUUCCCAGCCUUCUGCACCGGCAGGGUAAAUAUCUUCCUUCACUAGCGGAUGGACUAGCCUGGGUGACGUGGUACCCACACUUCCCCCUGGAGUGCCUCUGUCUAUAUUUUGACAGGGUCCAAGUAUUUAAGGCAAAAAAACAAAACAAAACAAAACAAAGAAACCACCACAAACAACAACAACAAGAAAAAAACAACUGUGCCAAAGCCCAGAAGACACCAGACACACAUUGUAUUAAAUACUUCCUAGAGUCACAUUACUCAGAUCAUAGCAAGUGUGGGAAGGGUUGAUAGAAAAACAACUGAAAAACUUAAAUUUGUUUUCACGGUUGACACCCUCAUUUCAGAACCGAAAACACACUGCACCGUCACAAGAUGUAUUUCUUGAGAGGGCUGGCCUAGUUGAUUGAGUAACGCUAUCCUCUCAUUCAAAAACCAGCUGAUGCACACAGCCAUGCAGGCUUAAAUGCGUUCGCUCGGAUUUCUGAUCUGUUUGCCAAAGGGAAACAAGCGUGCGGUAUUUUUAUCCCUUGGCACAAGGGUAUUUUUCUUCCUCUUGUUCUCGUCCGCCACCUCUUGCUCUAAUGAAACAGCAGCGACUUUUAUUUUUUUGUUUUUCUUUAUUUUAUUUUUGGAUAUAUGGUCUCCUGUAGCCCAGGCUGGCGUCACUUUCGUUAUAUAGCUGAGGAUGACCUUGAACUCCUAAACACCCUGCCUCUACCUCUCAGGUGUGUGACUCCGGACUCAAGAGUUUUGUGCAGUGCUGGUAAUGAAAGGCAGAACCUGGUGCAUGGUGGGCAGGGACUCUAUGAACAAGUAACAUCCCCAGUUCAAUGAUACUGAUCUUAGAAGUGACUCUUGAUGCACACACAGAGCUACUUUACAACAUACGUGCGCACCGGGACCAGACUUUCCUUGCGAAUCCGUGUGCAGUCAGGUAAGUCUCCUUAGACUUAGAGGAAGUGCCUAAGUGGCUAUGCUGCGCUGAUUCUGAACAGUUUUCAAAGUUCUCAGGAGAGGAGAGGAGAAAGAUGUAGGGGACUGGAGAGCUUUUCACAAUCUUUUAACUCUUUUGCGUGUUUCACUGUUUAAAAUGCAUGAAGAUUAACAUCUGUUUCACCCAUAUUUGUGACUGUCGAGGAAAAUUUUAAUGAGUUGGUUUUUAGCUACAGUAAUGCUGAGGAGGCCAGAAGAGGGCACAGAUCCCCUAGAUCUAAAGUUGGGGGUCAGCUGAUGUGGGUGCUGAGAACUGAACUUGGGUCCUCUGCAAGCCCAGCCCACUGUCUUAGUCACUGACUUCAGCCUCCUUCCUAGUUUUUGAGACCGGAUCUCAGUGAAUUUGGAGCUCGAGAACUGGCUGGUCUGAUUGUCCAGCGUUGUAUCCAGGAUCCUCCUGUCUCUGCACUUGCCCUCCCCUGGGGGCAGGGAUUGAAGGUAUUUGCCACCACACUUGGUUUUUUAACAUGGAUGCUAGGGAUUCUAGCUGAGGUCUUCGAGUUCACAGAGGAAGUGCUGCAGCUCUGUACCCAGAGCCCCACCUCCCAGCCCUGAGUCCUCAAACAUCCAUGAUGGCCCCUGGGUGAGAGCAGGUGCCAUCGCCUCUCAGAUACUUUGAGCUGGACAUAAGUAACGUACUAAUAAGCAAAUAACAAAUUAUUAAAGUCACCAGAGACAAGAUCCCUUGUCAUAGUCCUGGCUGUCCUGGAACUCACUAUGUACUGAAACUCACUAUGUAGACCAUACUGGCCUUAAACUUCUCCUUAAGAUCCUUAGGAUCCCUUAAGAUCCUCCUGCCUCAGCCUCAGGAGCCCUGGGAUUAAAGAUGUAGACACCAUAAGUUACUUUCCAUUAAGUGUUACAAGAAAUGAGGUCCAUUGAUAACUCCUGAAGUUAAUGGUUAGAGGAAAGUUGAGAGGAUCAGGCCCAAGGGAGGGAAGAAGUUGUUUGCAGACACCUGAUCAGGACUAGAAAAAAACUAAACUCCUGCUUUGUCAGAGAAGAGCAUGUCUUCGUGCAUCUAACAGACAAAAAAGCAAGAGAAUGAAAAUGAGUCUUUGUUUUAUCUACUUCAAGGGCAUCCAAAAGAUGUUUUCAAGUUUUAAGACUCUCUUAAGUAGAGCAUGUGUAAAGCCAGGGUUCUGUAUUAGUUAAAGUCUAAUGGCUGGCUGUUCUUGCAUUCCCAAGUAAGAAAAUCGUAUUAGUUUCUUCUCUCUUUGCUGUGACUUAAAAACCUGACCAGAAGUGCUGGCAGGGAGGAAGGUUUCAUUUUGGCUUAUCAUUGUAGGAAAUCUUAGGAGCAAGAGCAGGAGUCAGCUGCUCUUGGAACUGCCGGGCUCCAACAGGAAGUAGGGCUGGACUGCAAGACCUCAUGGCCCUCCCCCAACCCCCACUGACCUCACGCUUCCUGAGCAUCCAGGGAGGCCCUUCUGUGUGUUCCUCAGCCUUCCAAAUCAGCGCCACAGGCUGAUUAUCAAGUGUUCAAACACCCGCACCUGUAGGGCCAACGGAAAGAUACUCAAACUGCAACCGGAAGAGUGGGAGCCUUGCCUUAGGAGUCCUGGGGAGAGAAAAGAAAAGCAAUAUAGUCGUUCACCGGUGAGCAAGCGGCUGAGCGGUUUUUGCCAGUGAUCAAUUCCUGGUGAAAACUUUCCGCUUAAGAAGAGUCGUGGCAGUGUCAUAGGAAAAUAGCUUUCAUCUCUUUUUAUUAUGAAGGCUGAGAGGAAAGAACAUGAAAGAGACAGAAAUAUAACAUUUAUGGAAGAAACAAAUUGGGAAACAAAACUGAUUUAAAUCUCGGACUCCUUUAAGGACGUUUCUCUGACUAUUUAUUCUAUUGUAUUAUUAAAUUCAACCACCCUUUAUUUUUAGUUGCUGGCCACUUAGCUCACUGAAACACUGUCUCUGUACUUGAGAGUCAGGCUCUUGUUGCCUCCGAUUGAACUUGACUUUUUUUUUUCCAUUGCAACUGAGGAGGACUAACUUUAAGAUGAGUGAAGGAUAUUCUGAAUCAUCUCUUUUAUUCCCUUGUUAUUCUUGGUAUCUCUCCAACUCAAGGGUUUGGGGAAAUAAGCCAACUUUUCAAGGUGGUACUGGCCUUGGAGCCAAAAUUCCAGUGCAGACGCAUCUCUGUAGCUUCAGCUACCUUAGAAAAUUGAUGUGGUUUCUGAAAAAAAAAAAAAAGAAAGAAAGAAAGAAAAGCCGUAAUUUCUUCCAUCCCAUUAAAAAUAGGAGUGCAAUAUUGCAAAAGCGAGGCAAUCCGAAGCAGGCAAUUUCAGCAUAAGUAAACAGAUAUGCAGCAUUUACAUAUGCAUGAGAUGCAAAUGAGAGCUUGGUGGUCCUGCCUCUCUUUGGCGCUAGAGCUGAGACUAGAACCCCAGUUUGGGACUUCGAAGAGCUCUUGCGACAGUUUUCGUUUUUCUGCGUCAUCCAGGUCUUCUUUUCGUCCUCGGAAACGUUUUUCACUUACGGAAUGAGGUGAUCAUCAGUUUCACAAUACGACCCUUGUAAAAGCGGGUGGUUUCUUUUACAAGAGACUUGCAGUGAAUAAUGGUGUGUGGCAACGAUCCCCCCCCCCCCCCCCCGAAGGCCAGGUGCAUUGUUAAUCUUGACCUUUUGGAGUGCAGACCUUCCAGUAGUUGGAGGAAGACCACCCACGCUAUCAAGGUCAUCUGCUUUACGUCACGUCUAUUUAUCUCAAAAGUUAGCAUCUGAUUAGUGUUGAUUGCUUGUGUGGCUCCUGGGAAGCCCAUCUGGAUCAGCACAAAACCCUCCCAGCACCUCUUGAAUUACACUGCUUUGCCUCUUUGGAAUCAGGCAUGUUUUUAGCGUCUGUCUGUCCGUCUGUGGCAUCACACAGAGCCGCCUUCCUUUUGACAGCUCUCCACAUAUUUAAAGGAAACUAGUGUUCCUCCUCAGUCCUCUCUUUCCUAGUAGAGGGACAGGCACUUCAUUCUCUUGCCCAGAGAGCUAGCUUCGGGUCACAGCCUUGUCCUUGCUGACCUGCUCAACUUGGUUACUCUAAAGCCCAGGGCCUAGGUUGGAUUGAAGCCCUUGAGGAAGUGGUUUGUCCAAAACAGACCAGAGUGAGAUGGGAUUUCUUUCUAGGCACUCAGGCUGCUCAUCCUAAAGUCACUGCUCCUGUCGUGGUGGCAGGAGACAGGAUGGUGGCUCACAGGGACUUCACUGCAAAUGAAGGCUUUGGGUUGGCUGUGUGUGGCUUUGGUUUUCUAAUGUACCCCCUUGCUGAGCUAAGUGUUCCCUAAGCAGGGUGUGUGCGUCUUACUCUGGCAGAGGAGUUUAUUUUCACCCUCCUAAGUAUUGUUUUGUCAGAUUUAAUCGUGUCUUCUGUCACUUUGGGCCUUUUGGAUCUGAAUGUGUGUCAACCCUCCAUGUUUGCCGUCAUCUGGAUGUGUGUUUGUUUUGGAAUAUUUCAGGGCCUGCCCACCUGUGUGUGUGUGUGUGUGUGUGUGUGUGUGUGUGUGUGUGUGUGUGUGUGUUGUCUGUCUCUGUGUGUGGUGGUGUGCAUGUAUGUGUGUCUCUCUACAUGCUAGUGUGCAUGUAUGUGUGUCUCUCUACAUGCUAGUGUGCAUGCAUGCAUGUAUGUAUAUCUGCAUGUUUGUUGGUAUGGCUCUGUGUGUGUGUGUAUGUGUGUUGGUAUGGCUGUGUGUAUGUGUGUUGGUAUGGCUGUGCGUGCAUGUGUGUAUGCAUGAGUGUGUGUGAGUGUGUGUAUGUGAGUGUAUCUGCCUCUGUGUGCUGGUGUGCAUGUGUAUAUAUAUGUAUAUCUUUGUAUGUGUGUUGGUAUGACUCUGUGUGUGUUUGUGUCUUGGUGUGGCUCUGUGCGUGUGUGUGUGUUUCUGUAUGUCUACAUGCUGGUGUGUGUGCAUGUAUGCAUGUAUGUGUAUUGUGUGCAUGUGUGUGUCUAUAUAUGUGCUGGUAUGGCCAUGUGUAUGUGUGUGUCUCUAUGUGUGUUGGUAUGGCUGUGUGCAUGUGUGUUUGUAUGUGUGUUGGUAUGGCUGUGUGCAUGUGUGUUUGUAUGUGUGUUGGUAUGGCUGUGCAUGUGUAUGUCUGUAUGUGUGUUAGUGUGGCUGUGUGCAUGUGUAUGUGUAAAGGCCAGAGAACAACCUCAGAUAUCAGGUGCCACCUACCUUUCUUUUUAAAGAAGGGCUUCUCACUAGUCUGGGACUUGCUAAGUAGGGUUUGAAAUUGGCCAGCCCCAGGGCUCUGACUGUCUUCACCGAAACCCCAGUGGUGGGGUUAUAAGCUCACAUCACUGUGCCUGGCUUUGUUGAAUGUGGGUCCGAAGUACUGACCCCUGAUCUUUUCUCUUCCCGGCAGUCGUAGACAUUUCUACCUUUGAUCGUUUGACUUAGGAAUGGUGAGUCUUUCUAGUGAUUUCAGACCACCGUUAGUAUCAUGCUUUACUGGGUAAGAAAAAUUAGGGGUCCUGAACUGGCAAGGUGACUCAGCAGGUCAGGACACUUGCCACCAAGACUGAGGUCCUUAGAUUGAUUCCUGGAAAUGACUUGGUGGAAGGGGAGGACAGACUUCUAUAAGUUGCCCUCUGAUCUCCCUACCUACACACAAAUCAAUCAAUCUAUCUAUCUAUCUGUCUAUCUAUCUAUCUAUCUAUCUAUCUAUCUAUCUAUCUAUCUAUCUUUAAGCAAAAGGAAGAUUCAGAGUCUUCAACUUGUAUUAGAGGGAUAUUAUAUUAGCCCCAUGUCCCAUUAGUACCAUAUUUAUUUAAGAAAUUUUGCUUGGGCAUUACAGCAUCAAAAAGUGAGCCGGGUGGUGGGUGGUGGCCUUACACAGACUCCUAAGUCCUCAUUUAUUAUUAUCCUCCACCUCUCUUGUUUCUGUAGCACAUGCUUUUCUUAGGACUUGGUCUACUGCUAUGUAAAGUGCACACAUGAUCCAAUGUGAUUAGUCCCAAUAGCUCUUCUAGUUAAAAGGCUGUUUUCCACAAAGCUAUUUCAAGAUCUCUGUGUGCCUCUGUAUGAAAACGACUGAACUGUGUGAUUUGAAGUUGAUGCCAAGGCUGAGUACGAGCUACAAUGUUCUUUUGUAGUUUACAACAACUGUUAGGAAACCUACCCACGGCUCAGAAUUACCUGGAGGGGUUGGAACUGUAUGUUCCCAGCCCCUUCUGCCAGAGCUUUGAUUUACUAGGUGGGUGGUGGGCUCGGAGAAUUCGAAUCUCUAGCAGUUUGCCACUGAGGCUGGUUUUCUAGGUACCUUGUUUUGGGGAAUCUUUGUGCUCUUUGCUCAGUGUUCAGUUUCCAUUUGGGGAAAACAGAAUUCAACUUAGAAACACACAGGCAUUAGGCAGCCGAGGGCGCACGUGACUCUACCGUACUCCGCGGACAGGCUGUGCGGCAGCAUCAUAGAGGGAACAGUGCAUGUGGGUCAGAGUCCUGGGCACAGGGCGAAUGCCAAGCUCGUCCUUGGUUCCUUAAAAGCAGACCUUCCCAGACAUCAUGCUUGGGCCGGGAUGGUUUUGUAAGCAGCGCAAACCUCCGUAACUCUGCUGUGAGGGUUCUGAGACAGUGACCAGAUGACAGCCUUGGGGAGAGGCGGAGCUAACCUGCCCUGUGUGAGAACAGCUGUGACACAGGCUAAGCAUCCCUAAUCCAAAAAUCUCCAGUUGGAAGCGCUCUGAAUUUUGCAAAUUUCAGAGUGUUAGCAUGGAGCUCAAAAUGUCUCCGGCAUCAAGAUAAAGGACUCUCACCUGAGAGUAGCUGUGAGCGUUCCAGCAUUCAAAGCAACCUCAAGAGAAAAAAAAAAAAAAUUGAAACCUAAACUGGAGAGAUGGCUCAGUGGUUAAGAGCACUGACUGCUCUCCCAGAGGUCCUGAGUUCAAUUCCCAGCAACCACAUGGUGGCUCACAACCUUCCUAAUGAGAUCUGAUGCCCUCUUCUGGUGUGUCUGAAGACAGCUACAGUGAACUUGUAUAUAAAAAAUAAAUCUUAAAAAAAAAAAUCUGAAACUCAGAUAAGGGAUGGUCAGCUUGCCUGAAGGUUUUACACACGGAAUUCGAACCCAGAACCAGAACCUUAGCACCUUGCUGCAUGCUCAAGUCUCAGACAGAGACAGACAAGUAUGAAAGCCAGAUACUUACUAUAAAAUGAUUUUACAUUGCUCGUUGGUUAAUGGUGUUUAUAAAAUGUUUAAAGGUGGUGUCAAAACAGCCGCCGCUCUGGGGAAAGUUUAUAAAUCCCUGCAUUUUAGGAGCAUGAGUAACAUUUUCUUCAACGAUGCAUUUCCUGUCUCCUCAAAAAUAUUUUAAAAUGUUUUCUCCUAUUUUCUGUCGCCGGGCAGUAAUUUAAGAGGGGAAGACAAAUAAUAAAAACAGAAAGGAAAGAAUUUUCGAGAACUGUGAAUACUUGUCUGAAAAGUUAUUGAUUUCCUUUUGCAUCAAGAACUUCAUAAAUUAUAACCACCUUGCUAUGCAUAGUGAGAUGCUUUAAAGGCUGACCCAAAUACACGGGGUGAGCGAAAAUAGAUUAUCUGCUAUGGGGUCUAGAAAUCUUUCCUUUAAAGUAUUUCAUGUCAUAUCUUUUUUUAAAACUUUUUUUCUUUUCUGUCACAGCUGACUUGGCACUUCCCAUAUGGAGUAAAUGUGCACUAAUCCUCCUGCCUCUGCCACUUUUUUUUUUUUUUUUUUUUUUUUGGUUCUUUUUUUCGGAGCUGGGGACCGAACCCAGGGCCUUUCGCUUCCUAGGCAAGCGCUCUACCACUGAGCUAAAUCCCCAACCCUUCUUUUUUUUUUUUUUUUUUUGUUUUUUUGUUUUUUUGUUUUUUUGUUUUUUUUGCUGCCUCUGCCAUUUGAGUGCUGAGAUGACAAGUUAAAAUAUUUUACAUCUUGACCAAGUAUGUUUGAGAUAGGGUCUCGUUCAGUUCAGGCUGGUUUUGAACUCACUCUUUAGUCCAGGGCAAGCUUGAACUCUUGACCUUCAGAAUUCCUGAAUUCUCUCACAGGUGUCACUGUCUCCACUUGGAUGUGAUGUUAGGGUUUGAACCCAGGUCUUUGGCCAUGCUAGACAAACACUCUACCCCUAAGCUACAUCUGCAGCCUAGUGGCAGCUCCAUUUCUCUCCUCUUUUCUCUUACCAACCCCAGCA
This is a non-coding RNA of Rattus norvegicus (Norway rat), 10117 nucleotides long. Lineage: Eukaryota; Metazoa; Chordata; Mammalia; Rodentia; Muridae. The record is from RefSeq and is a predicted model, not a curated record.